UACUGAGGGGGCAAGCGUUAUUCGGAAUUAUUGGGCGUAAAGGGCGCGUAGGCGGCCUGGCAAGUGGAUGGUGAAAUCCCUCGGCUUAACCGAGGAACUGCCAUCCAGACUGCUUGGCUUGAGACCGGGAGAGGUGAGUGGAAUUCCCAGUGUAGCGGUGAAAUGCGUAGAUAUUGGGAGGAACACCAGUGGCGAAGGCGGCUCACUGGUCCGGUACUGACGCUGAGGUGCGAAAGCGUGGGGAGCAAACAGG
RNAcentral lists this ribosomal RNA (253 nucleotides) under uncultured bacterium. RNAcentral's name for it is "partial 16S ribosomal RNA". It matches the Rfam family "Bacterial small subunit ribosomal RNA", at positions 524 to 776 of the family's 1533-position model. The record is from RNAcentral.